RNAcentral lists this ribosomal RNA (207 nucleotides) under uncultured bacterium. RNAcentral describes it as "partial 16S ribosomal RNA". It matches the Rfam family "Bacterial small subunit ribosomal RNA", at positions 568 to 774 of the family's 1533-position model. The record is from RNAcentral.
CGUGUAGGCGGCUGGGUAAGCCGCGUGUGAAAUCCCGGGGCUCAACCCCGGAACGGCACGCGGGACUGCUCGGCUCGAGAAUGGUAGAGGCGAGUGGAAUUCCUGGUGUAGCGGUGGAAUGCGUAGAGAUCAGGAAGAACACCGGUGGCGAAGGCGGCUCGCUGGGCCAUUUCUGACGCUGAGGCGCGAAAGCGUGGGGAGCAAACA